Molecule: ribosomal RNA, 253 nt
Filed under: uncultured bacterium
Lineage: Bacteria
Description: partial 16S ribosomal RNA
Rfam family: Bacterial small subunit ribosomal RNA
Source: RNAcentral
UACGUAGGGUGCAAGCGUUGUCCGGAAUUAUUGGGCGUAAAGAGCUUGUAGGCGGUUUGUCGCGUCUGCUGUGAAAUUUCGGGGCUCAACCCCGAACUUGCAGUGGGUACGGGCAGACUAGAGUGCGGUAGGGGUGACUGGAAUUCCUGGUGUAGCGGUGGAAUGCGCAGAUAUCAGGAGGAACACCGGUGGCGAAGGCGGCAUCCUGGACCAACACUGACGCUGAGGAGCGAAAGCCAGGGGAGCAAACGGG